GUCAGUCGGGCGGUGUCUUCCGCUGCUUGACUGGCUGCAGUUUGAACCGGACGGUCUGUUAAAAUAAGAAUUUAAAUCUAGAACAACGCCUCCUUUGAGCGGCCCGGACAAUCCUGAAUCCUUUAGGGUUGCCAUUCCAUCGAGGCUUAAACGAGGAUGACGCGGAGGUGUUGCCCAUUGAGGGGUUUUGGUGACAAGGAGUCACUGAACAAAACGCUAAACCAAAAGAAAAAGAAAUAUUAAAAAAGCCAACGAUCCUUUAUAAAUCCUAGCCGAGUCCUUUCCGUCUACAUUCGGUGUGAAGAGCAAAACCCAAAUUUCAACACAUUUUACUGCUUAGCAACGAAAAAAAAGCGAGUGUCAAAACAUUGUUUUACUUGCUCAUACAUUGUUGUGGCAGAAACGCGUUAAUCAUGUAACGGUGAAUUUUUUUCUCUUUUGUUGAUGCAGCAUCAAAAGACACGCGAUAGGUUCCGGUGGUCAUUAACUAUUCAAGAUGGUAGACCUGUCAAUGUAAAAGACAGGGCCCAUCCCCAGCAACGUCAACCUGCAGAAAGAAAAAGGCCAAUUUCCAUGGCCUUCAGACUCGAAGGUCGCGAAGAUAAUUACGUAAAACUGGCACGGGGUGGUGUAGAGGUUGGGUGAGAAUGACACGUGUUUCAACAUUAUCAAGCAGACCCAUCCCCGGCAAAGUCACCUGCAGAAGGAAAGGCCAGUUUGCAUUUCAAUCGAAGGUCAUGGAUAUCUUUACGUAAAAGGUGUCAUGCAGUGGGUGUAGAGGUUGGGUGAGAACGGUACGUUUUGCAUCAUUAUCAAGAAGUCGACAGGUAUCAGUCGAGUGAGCAUCUCCGACAC
RNAcentral lists this long non-coding RNA (855 nucleotides) under Daphnia pulicaria. Its description in RNAcentral is "uncharacterized LOC124342235, transcript variant X1". The record is from RNAcentral. Lineage: Eukaryota; Metazoa; Arthropoda; Branchiopoda; Diplostraca; Daphniidae.